RNAcentral lists this transfer RNA (73 nucleotides) under Bacillus phage phi18. RNAcentral's name for it is "tRNA-Arg". It matches the Rfam family "tRNA". Rfam says of the family: Transfer RNA (tRNA) molecules are approximately 80 nucleotides in length. Their secondary structure includes four short double-helical elements and three loops (D, anti-codon, and T loops). Lineage: Duplodnaviria; Heunggongvirae; Uroviricota; Caudoviricetes; Herelleviridae. The record is from RNAcentral.
GCCCAUGUAGCUCAGAGGAUAGAGCACGUCCCUCCUAAGGAUGGUGUCGGGAGUUCGAAUCUCUCCAUGGGUG